Molecule: long non-coding RNA, 455 nt
Filed under: Physcomitrium patens
Lineage: Eukaryota; Viridiplantae; Streptophyta; Bryopsida; Funariales; Funariaceae
Description: long non-coding RNA (PPAT_LNC008127)
Source: RNAcentral
AAUUUAUAUCAAAAUUUUGAAAUUUUAUUUUUAAGAUAUUGAAGGUGGAUAUCAAACUUACCUUUGCCUUCCAUCCUCAAAUCAAUGGUCAAAAAAACAAGUCAAUUAAGUUUUAAACCAAUAUUUGUAAUGUAUCAUCAACUAUAAACAAGAUAUUAGAUCUCAUAUUUAUUUUAUAAAAAUUUUACUUAUAAAAAUAUUCUCCAUGCUUUGAUUCAACAAAUACCAUUUUAUACCAAAUAUGGUUACUGUCUAAAGCUUGAUUUAUAAGGUACACCAAAGGAUGAAAAUCUAGCAACUGAAAAUCUCGCAAAAUAAUUCUCAUAGCUCCAUACAACUUUUAAGGUCUAAUUAAAAGUAGCUCAAGUUUUUUACAAAAUAUCUUUAAAUAAAUUUAGAAAAGAAACUCUUAAUUUUUAAAUUAGAGAUAAAAUAUGGCUUUUUUAACAAAAUAU